RNAcentral lists this long non-coding RNA (1851 nucleotides) under Homo sapiens (human). RNAcentral's name for it is "HSALNT0398688". Lineage: Eukaryota; Metazoa; Chordata; Mammalia; Primates; Hominidae. The record is from RNAcentral.
UUUGGGCUGCGGCGGACGGAACCCAGCGAAAGUGCACGCCCCGCGGGCCGGCGUGGGCGCGUGUGUGAUCUUAACCCCGCGGGGGCGGGGGUGCGGGCGGCAGUGGCGGGAGAACCCUGGGCGGCGGCUGUGGAGGCGGGCGGCCCAGCCAGAGCCGGUGUCUCCGCGCCUUAUAAGGGCUUCGAGUCGGCCCAGGCAUCUGGAAUGUGUCAGGGACCAGGAGGCGGUGCCCGGACCCCCGCCCGCCUCCGGGGCUGCCCGCCCUCUCCCGGAUUUCCGGGGGGUGGGGACCCCGACUCUCAGGGUUGGAGGCCUGCAUUUCUGGAUCCCUAUAAACAUGGGCUGAGAGCCCCCCCAAGAGCAUCUCUAAGACCGGAGUGGGCAGGGACCCGGGCCUCUGAGGGGCUCAGGCUCCAGGCCGGAAACUGCACGCGGUGCUGGCGUCAGGCCCGAGGCCCAGCUACGCCUCCCACGGCCUCCCUAAUCGCCAUUCGGGGCUUGCGGGAGCACCUGGGAGGCUCCACCCGGAGCCAGACACUGCCUGCCCCCACGCCCCUCCAGGACCCUCGAAGGAGAAGGAAAUCGGGACUGGCCCAGCGUCCCGUGCUCUAGAAGGCGGGCUACUGCCCCGUCCCAAGCAGGGGAGGAGGACGAGCGAGGGCGUCACUCAUUCUGUCCCCCGCGGAAGGAUGAGGAAGCUCUGUUUACCUAAAUGAAAAGCUUUCUAGGAGGAAGUCCUAAGUGAACAAUGAUGCAUGAGGAUGCAAUCUUACAGGCAAGGAGCCCAGUGAUAACAAAUGGCUGUAGAUGCUUUUCCUCCAUCAAGCUUCCAGGAGGAGAUGAGAUGGAGCCCAUCGCUGAGCCAAGGUCACCAGCCCCAUUUCACAAAUGUAAAUAGCAGGUGUCCCCCACACAGUCUGAACACUUGGAGGCCAAGAUUCAUUUCUCUCAGGGCCCACCAUCCUCAAGCAUGGGAUUGAUUUAGUGCCUCUUGCUGGGAAGCAAAGUUCUGGGAGCCAUAGUGGGAUCCUCCCUCCCUCCCUGCAGGAGACUGGGGCCCUUCCAAGCAGCAACUGAGACCAGUCAACAACCUCUGCCUUAGGCCAGGCGCGGUGGCUCACGCCUGUAAUCCCAACACUUUGGGAGGCUGAGGCGGGCAGAUCAUCUGAGGUCAGGAGUUCAAAACCAUCCUGGCCAACAUGGUGAAACCCCGUCUCUACUAAAAAUACAAAAAUUAGCUGGGCGUGGUGGUGCGUGCCUGUUGUCCUAGCUACUCCGGAGGCCAAGGCAGGAGAAUUCCUUGAACCUGGGAGACAGAGGUUGCAGGUCUGAGAUUGCACCACAGCAUCCAGCCUGGGCGACAGAGUGAGACCCUGUCUCAAAAAGAAACAAAUUAAAAAACAAAAAACAAAAAACAACCUCUGCCUGCCCUUGGGGCCUAGCAUGAGCCCCUGCACACAGGAGGCUUCUAUAAAAAUAGCUCAUUUCGGGUAAUCUAGGGCAGAACCCAGGCUUUUACCACUUGUGGUUUCUCUUUCUAAAUGUGUAGUUAAAAGCUGUAGGCCAGACCUGGUGCAUGGUGGCUCAUGCCUGGAAUCCCAACACUUUGGGAGGCUGAGGUGGGAGAAUCACUUGAGGUCAGGAAUUUGAGAUCAGCUUGGCCAAUAUAGCAAGACCCUGACUCUUUAAAAAAAAAAUUUUUUUUUUAAUUAGCCAGGCAAGGUGGUUGUGCCUAUAGUUCCAGCUACUCAGGAGGCUGAGGCAGGAGGCUCACUUGAGCCCAGGAGUGCGAGGCUGCAGUGAGCUGUGACUGCACUGCUACACUCCAGCCUGGACAAACUGAGCAAGACC